CUUCGGCUCCUCUUUAGGGCAAGGGUGUUUCGGUAAGGUAACAACAAGUGGAGAAGAAUUUCAGGAGGUGAAGUUCUGUUCUAUUCUGUGGUGUAUAUUUCUUGAUCACCUGAGAUGUUAUCUUCAUCUGAUCAGUGGGAAGGAUUUUAGCAGUGAGGCUCUAUUACUGUGAUGCUGGAAUUGUGAUUAUUGAGGUGUUAUCCAGCAACUUUCCCUAACCGGUAGCAACAUCUUUGAUUGUGAUCUAUUGGUGAUCACCUUGGAUUUGGUGGACACAGGACGUUGACGAGAGACGAGCAUCUUGACGUUGGAUUUGACUGGAUUGGAUCUACAGUU
Molecule: long non-coding RNA, 336 nt
Organism: Zingiber officinale
Lineage: Eukaryota; Viridiplantae; Streptophyta; Magnoliopsida; Zingiberales; Zingiberaceae
Exons: 3
Source: RefSeq, a predicted model, not a curated record